AGACGGAGGGUGCAAACGUUGUUCGGAAUCACUGGGCAUAAAGAGCACGUAGGCGGUCCGCUCAGUCAGGUGUGAAAGCCCCCGGCUCAACCGGGGAACGGCAUCUGAUACUGGCGGGCUUGAGUAUGGUAGGGGUGAGCGGAACUCCAGGUGGAGCGGUGAAAUGCGUAGAUAUCUGGAGGAACACCGGUGGCGAAAGCGGCUCACUGGACCAUCACUGACGCUGAGGUGCGAAAGCCAGGGUAGCAAACGGGAUUAGAUACCCCGGUAGUCC
This 274-nucleotide ribosomal RNA is filed under the name uncultured bacterium. RNAcentral's name for it is "partial 16S ribosomal RNA". It matches the Rfam family "Bacterial small subunit ribosomal RNA", at positions 523 to 796 of the family's 1533-position model. The record is from RNAcentral.